AAAAGUAAGCUAAAAAAAGCUAUUGGGCUCAUACCUCAAUUAUAGGAUCAUCUCUUUUUUA
Molecule: transfer RNA, 61 nt
Filed under: Glomeridesmus spelaeus
Lineage: Eukaryota; Metazoa; Arthropoda; Diplopoda; Glomeridesmida; Glomeridesmidae
Description: tRNA-Met
Source: RNAcentral